AUAUAACUAAGCGGAGGAAAAGAAACUAACAAGGAUUCCCUUAGUAACGGCGAGUGAACCGGGAAAAGCUCAGACUGAAAACCUUCGGGAAUGUGGUCUGGAGAUGGGAUAUCGAAUCUUCGGAAGCUGAUAAAGUGGUCUGGAAUGACCCGCCGUGGAGGGUGACAGCCCCGUUCGUAUCAGUGGAAAGGGAAAGUAGAUACCUAUCAACGAGUCGAGUUGUUUGGGAUUGCAGCUCAAAGCGGGAGGUAAAUUCCUUCUAAAGCUAAAUAUCGAUAGGAGACCGAUAGCGCACAAGUA
This 300-nucleotide ribosomal RNA is filed under the name uncultured Poterioochromonas. Its description in RNAcentral is "partial large subunit ribosomal RNA". It matches the Rfam family "Eukaryotic large subunit ribosomal RNA", at positions 40 to 350 of the family's 3401-position model. Lineage: Eukaryota; Synurophyceae; Ochromonadales; Ochromonadaceae. The record is from RNAcentral.